CCUACGGGAGGCAGCAGUGGGGAAUAUUGCACAAUGGGGGAAACCCUGAUGCAGCGACGCCGCGUGAGCGAUGAAGUAUUUCGGUAUGUAAAGCUCUAUCAGCAGGGAAGAAAAUGACGGUACCUGACUAAGAAGCCCCGGCUAACUACGUGCCAGCAGCCGCGGUAAUACGUAGGGGGCAAGCGUUAUCCGGAUUUACUGGGUGUAAAGGGAGCGUAGACGGCCGUUCAAGCCAGAUGUGAAAGCCCGGGGCUCAACCCCGGGACUGCAUUUGAAACUGUUUCCCUUGAGUGUCGGAGAGGGAA
This 305-nucleotide ribosomal RNA is filed under the name uncultured bacterium. Its description in RNAcentral is "bacterial SSU rRNA". It matches the Rfam family "Bacterial small subunit ribosomal RNA", at positions 338 to 660 of the family's 1533-position model. The record is from RNAcentral.